UCACAACUUAGAACAGUCAUAUCUUAGAAUUCUUGAAUGAAACCACAACUUGGAACUGUCAUAAGUUAGAAUGAUCAUAACGUAGAAACAUAACUUAGAACUAUCAUAACUUGGAACUCUCAUAACUUAGAAACCGGGUCUUAUAUUCAUAACUUAUAGCUAUCAUAGCUUAGAAAAAACACAUUAGAAACACAUGAUUUAGAACCAUGACUUAGAAUCAUAACUUAGAAACACACCCUAGAACGAACACAAUUUAGAAACAUCUUAGAAACAUGAAACUUAGAAAGUCGUAAAUUAGAACUGUCAUAAAUUAGAAAAUACUAUCUUGUGUGUUUGAGUUAUGUUUUUCCAAGUUACGACAUCGCCCCAUGUCGGGGCACCAGGUAACAGACACCGCUUCUGCGAGAUGGGAGCCCAGCGAGUGGUUCGUGGCGAGCUCUGGUAGGGCAUAAAGUGACUAUUCGGGGAGGUCAACAACUCUGUCCUCCGACUAAAGAUUCGGGGCGCUUACAAAACCAGAGUACUGUUGGCAUGUUCGUGAGGGUCCGCGGUGGUUUGCCUGUCGGGUCCCUCCCGUGCCCAGCGGAGUUGAAACCAGGGUUGUUCGCAAGCGAGAAACAUGGCGGACGUCACCACUAAACGGUCGGUUCUCUCAGGAUGCUCCUGUGUCUCCCAUGAUGCAUUCCAUCGCUGCCCCAGCUAACUCAACGUCAACUCAUCCGCCUGCAAAGGCGUCGUCAGGCUAUAUUUCUAGGAUUUUCUGUAUAAGGCCAACUUCUUAAAGCGAACCGUCACCUAGGAGUAAUUAUUAUUUCUCUCUCGCGGCCGAAACGUCCUUCCAACCCGAAAUUUUGAUCCUUCCCCUCCACGAGCACAGGGUGUCGUGAGAAAAGUGGUCGUUCGUCUCCAACGAAGCGUGAGCCUAAAUGUAGACGAUGAACGUUACUCUCUGUUUCAUGCGAACACGUGUCAUCUGAACAGAUCUGUUAGAUACAAUCUCUUUCAGAAGUCACGUGAUCAGAAGUGACGUCGCUUUCCGUUAUCGCACGUCCAAGGUCUGUUCUUGGCUUCUGAGUGAGACAAAGGUGUUUACUUAAUCUUGCUGCUGGUUGCUGUUCGUCUCUCUCUUGAAAAAAAAGUAAAUACGGAUAUGUGCAUCACUGCCGAGUUUAACUGCGCCCAAGAAACACGACACCAUUCGGCAGCUACUGUUGGGCAAAGUCUCCGAGAAAAUUAACUUAAUGUCAACAUGCAUAUUUAGCUACAACCUAACCAAAGACUGACGACACCAAAUUUAAGAGACCUGCCUUGUCAGGGGUGUACUUGUGUUAGUUUGGUGGGAUAAGUGUGAUGAUCGCUAGUGUUUCUUAGUGUGGUGUCGCCUCUAAGUGCAAGGUUGUGUACUAGCGCGCAGUCUUCUCGUCGUGCAUAGGACAACUAUGAGAUUUGAGCGGUGACCAUAAAAAUUUUUUUUUGCUGUGAAAUGAAGAUAAAGAUGAAACUCAAAUCCCCUUUUUUUGCUUUAAGAAUAUGUACCGGGAGUUUCGUACCAAAAUAUUCUGCGAACAGCUGUUUUAAGCCAAUUGUUACUCUCCGAAACACAGGAUUUAAAAUCAAAAUCCAGAAACAGAACCACUAUUCUGAUGCCGAUCUCAACAAUUUUUUUUUAAUGCUUCUCGUAAACAGACACCACUUGGAUAUCUUGAACGAUUUCCAAAUUGCGCGGUUUCUUCUGAAACUCUGCAUACUACAUGUUUGUACACAGGUAGGCGGGGGCUCUUAAAUAUCGGUAAUAUCGCCAUGUUGAUUUGUUUUUAUUUUUCUAAAUGCUGCUAUUUAACGGCUGUUUCUGAAAUUUUAACACUGCAACGUCCUUGCAGUUAUUGUUCUGUCCCUAAUAAUUUCAACAGAUGUUCACGACAUUUAUUUAGCUGUCAAAAAUAAUAUAAUCACUUGAAAUAACAUUACCAUUUUCUAUGGUUGCUGUUGUUAUAAAUAUUUAAAUGAAAUUCUGAGCAUUUUUUAAUUAUUACCAUGCAGUUUUGCUUGUUUUGGUUUUGUGUGUAAUUGACCCCCUGAAACCUUAAAUCUGCCCUAGGUAUUUUAAAUAGAGCUGCCAUGCUGUUGAGUAGCACCCUCACAAAACGCUAGCUAUGACAUAACAGACCAGACCAUCGCAUUAUCUUUUCCCGACAGCAGGAUCGCGAUAAGUGUGUGACGAACUCGAUCACGCACGGUUGAGUGUUUGUCCCAAGGAGCCAUUGUGCUUGACGUGACAAAGCAAAGUUGAGCAAUAACUCUUCUUGUUUUGUGCUGAUUGUUCUGUGCUGAUUGCGAGUCGGCCGUCAUCGAACUGAUACACGGCUGAUUAAGUGAUUACAUUCGGGACGGUAUCUUGGCUCCUUGAAACAGUCGUCAGAGGUGUUCAGAGUGCAAUAGUAUUGUCGCAGUUGCCAAACUCAGCUGACUACCUCAGCCUGAUUCAAGUGAAAUAUUCAGGCUGUGGAAAUAAAUAAAGUGCAGGCGAUGUCUGGAGAACCACUCCCUCCUCUCACCAAAGACGACCUGGAGGAGUUGUUGCACAGCAAGGUGGACAGCUUCACCGUCUCCCCACUGACCGCUCCUGGCGAGAACUACGGCAGCACCAUGUUGCUGGUGGACAUCAUGCUGCCAGACCACAAGAAGAUGUCCAUAGUUGCCAAGAUGGUCUCGGAGUUUCCUCAAAUGCGUGAAAUUUUCCGUUUCCAAGAGACAGUCCGCAAGGAGAUCUACACGUACAGGCUGGUCCGACCGGAGUUCCUCGCCAUCCAGAAGGAGCACAAGAUACCGGAGGACUUGUUCCUGGACGUGAUCCCCGAGUGCUACGGCGCGCGCACCAGCCGGGGCGGAGGCAUCGACCAGCCGGUGGACGAGAGCUCCGUCAUCCUGAUGGAGAACCUCAAGGAGUCCGGGUACCGGCUCGCCGACCGCAUGGUGGGCUUGGACCUGAAGCACCUGGAGUACGUGGUGACGCGGCUGGCGCGCUUCCACGCGACGGCCACCGUGCUGAAGCUGAAGAAGCCCGAGGUCUUCAGGGACACCGUGAUGAAAGCUGCUGCUAAAAUAGAGAUGCGGCCACCACCACACAAGGACGGAGAGCGGCCUGGUCCACUGAAGAUGUUGGAUGCUAUUUCACACCAUCCUGGUAUUAACCAGUACAAAGAUAAAAUAGAAGAAGUGUUUAAGGAAAACAUUAAAAGUUUUGGGAAAGAGCCGGAGCCAAGGGAACCGUUCGCUACCAUUAUCCACAACGACUUCUGGACAAACAACAUGAUGUUUGCAUACGAUGGAAGUGAAGGUGAAAACAUCAAGGGUUUGAAAAUCUUUGAUUUUCAAAUGCCUACUUAUGGUUCACCAGUAAAAGACCUGUUGUUUCUGUUGUACUCAAGCAGGGUUGUUGAAGUGACAAAGGAAGACUGUGAUAGGUUGAUUGAGUUGUAUUAUAGUGAGUUCAUAAAGUGGCUCGAAUUGUUUGGCGUGGAUUCUAAACCAUUUACGUAUUCCCUUUUCUUGAAGGAGAUAAACAUGGAAUCUGUUGAGUGUUUUAUGCAUUCUUUUUUCAUGUUAAAGGUGUCGUCUAUACCUGAAAGUAAUGCACCUGACCUUUCUAACAGUUCUCAUCAUGACACAAUGUUUUCAGACAUAAGUGGUUUGGGAGAUAUUUACUUUACUAAAGUACAGAAUUUCGCGAAAGAAUUUAUUGAAAGAAACUGGAUAUGAACGAGUAUUACCUUGAAAUUUUCAGUUGUGUUUUCUUAAAUAUUAAUAUUAGUAUGUUUAGUGUUUGUCAUAUUAUUUUCAUAUGUAUAUCACAUUAACUUGUUUUGAAAUAUUUGUUUAUUUAGAAAUUAAAAUAAAAUAUUAUAAAAUGAAUUUUGCUUGUAAAUUAUUGUUGUGUUUGUACACUGUUCACUUGUUAGUAAAUAUGAUGAGUUUCGUAAUGUGAUUCCAUUCACUCAUAUUUGUAGAAAAUAAUUCCCAUUUUCAUUUGAAACUGUACACAAUGAAAACUAUUGAAUUCACCUUAAAUUUGGUACUAGAUAAAUUUUAGUCAUGGGUGUUAUUCAUGUCAAAGUAUUAAUUGAAGAAAUGGAUGGUAUCGAUAACAUAGCUAUCCAUAUACCUAUCUAUAUAUCUAUCAAAGUGAAAUACCACUCUCUGACUCACUCAAUACAAAUUGCCUUGAAAUUUGGUACGUAUAUUACAUUUGAAACUUAUACAUCCGCAAAGAAGAUUUUAUACAAAUCAGCUCCUAAGGGGAGGUUCAGUGCAUUAAAGCUGAAAUUUCCCAUUGUUCUACUUACAACAUUAAUAUAUAUAUAUAUUAAUUACUUCCCUUUGCAAGAUUUAAAAUCUCUGGCAACGCUGGCUACUUCAGUUAGUCCCUACUAAUAUUAUAAAUGUGAAAGUGUGUUUGUCUGUUUGUCCUGUCACUGUUUCAUGUGGAAUGCGGGAUGCGGGAUGCUCGCUCACGAUCGCAAGAGAAGAAGGCUUCGCUAGACAUCGCAAGGAGAAGGAAAUUCGUUUUGAAUGAUAGUGUUUCUCAACUGUUUUGAGGCAUUGUAAUCGGUUCAGUAAUGAAUCGCUUUUGUUUGAAUUUCACCUGCUUUAAAUAAUAUUAGUUUUAAUUCAGUAACAGGAAUUCACUAAUUUGAACGAAAUCCUGAAUAAAAUUGCUUGUAUCAUUACAAAAAAAUUACAUGCAGGGAUUGUUUUCUCAGGAAUAAUGAGCACACUGAGAAAACCAUCAGAAGCUUGCCAGGAAUGACCAGAAGCACUUGGAGAAAACCAACAAAAUAUUGACAGGAAUAAUCAGAAGCAGACAGAGCAAACCAACGCAUGUUUUGCUAAAUCAAGCUCAUGAAUUAAAACAAAAAAAAAAAAUGAAAAAAGAGGAUAGUUGUAGUACACGCCAGUGUCUUUGUGGAAUGUGUACUCAGUUUUUGUCGAAUGUGUUUCCAAAUUUUCUUCCUUUUUUAAAGUUUUUUUGACUUGCAUAUUAAUUUAAAUUGUUCGUGUUUUGACUAGCAUAGUAUUCCAGUGGACAUAUAAGUGAGUCCCAGAGGAUAGCACCUUCAGUUCAUCUCUGACCGUUGUGCAGUGCGGAUCGGCUCUCUUCAGUAUGUUUCCUGAUAUUUAGUUGGUUUUCCAAUGAUGACCUUGAUGGACGUUCUACCAUCGACAGUGCAGACCUCGAUGGCAGCGAUGACAGUGGCGAUGCAGAUCCUGUUGGCAUUGCCAACGACAAUUACGCAGAACUCGAUGGAAAGUGUACCAUUGUCACCAACAACAUUAGAGCAGACUUAAACAGGUAUAAUUUCACCAGCAGAAGAGACUUAAAUGUCUGCAGUGCUGGCUGCAGAGGGAACCUUCGAUGAAUGACGUUUCGUCAUCGAAGGAGACUUUAGUGGCUGCAUCACCACUAGCAUCAAUGAUGUCCACUAAAGGUACAUCGGCAUCUUUCCAGCAUUGGUGUCAUUACUGUGACAGGAAUUUCUCGAACGGCGGUAAUGUUCGACAACACGAGAAGAGAGAAUGUUCGAGGAAUCCAUCUUGCAAGAAAUUUAGCUGUGAGAAAUGACACAAGCAGUUUGCAAGAAACGAUAGCUUAAAAAGACGUGCCAUAAGCUGCAAACAAAAUUGCUUCUCCUGACAAACGAUCGAGCUUGACAUUGCAGGAGACUCAAGUUAGAGCUUUACUGAGUAAAGAUACAUAGAGGAACACACACAAUCGAUAUUCAUGUCACACCUGUGAGAAGAAUUUUCCAUAUGCUCAUGAUGCAUGGAGACAUGAGAAAAAAGAAUGCUCGCAGAACCCAUCACGCUUGGCGUUUCGUUGUGAUGAGUGUCGUGCAUGGUUUACUCGUAUUGACAAUUUGAGACGACAUGCGAAAAACUGCAAAGGUGGAGUACGCGCAAUGCCUCUAGCAUUAAAACAAAUCUGCAGCAAGAAGCUUCAAUAUCUAUCCAACAUGAAACGCAACCUACGAAUGUUCUCGGUGCGUUCAGACUAAAUGAAAAUGGAUUCUACCUGGCGAAAUCAGCAGUCUAUGGAAUGUUGAAAUACUUUUAUUUCCUGAACGACUCUCUUACGCCAAGAGCGUUUGUACCUUUCUAACUGAUGCCAAGAAGGAUAUUGUUAAUCAAAAUGAAGAAGUAUUGGAAAACGAUCACUCUGGGAAGUAUAAUUUGUGGCUGGAAUGUACUUAUGGUAAACCUGGGCCAUUUCAGGACCAGAAAAGAGCAUUCAAGACGAUGAAUACUGCUCUCUACCUAUCGCAUGAUAUAAUCGUGAAGAAGAAGAAUAACAAGGAAAAGAAAGUGGAUGGACACAUUUAGCUAUGUAAAUAGAUUGCAACUUAGAACAAGCAGACUGCACACUGAGAACUGUGUUGCAGUGUGGCUCCAGAUCGUGUUGUCUUCGACAGGCGUGGAUCUCCGAGG
This is an RNA transcript of Bacillus rossius redtenbacheri, 6483 nucleotides long. RefSeq lists it as uncharacterized. The transcript is spliced from 3 exons. The record is from RefSeq and is a predicted model, not a curated record. Lineage: Eukaryota; Metazoa; Arthropoda; Insecta; Phasmatodea; Bacillidae.